UGAACAAGGUGGGCAAUGAAC
RNAcentral lists this microRNA (21 nucleotides) under Spodoptera frugiperda (fall armyworm). Its description in RNAcentral is "sfr-miR-10494-5p". Lineage: Eukaryota; Metazoa; Arthropoda; Insecta; Lepidoptera; Noctuidae. The record is from miRBase by way of RNAcentral.